UUGGGUGAUUAGCCUUUGCUUAUGCAAAGAGGAAUCUACAAAGUUAUGAUUUCAACUCACUUUGUUUUGAGUUGAGUUUUGGUUCACCAAUCUACUAGGCUUUGAAUUUCAUGGGUAAUGUUUUGUUUUUGAGUGCAUGCAAGCAUGAUUCCGCCUUUAAUUGUUAAUUGCAUGCUAUAUGAUGUUGCUCACAUGAACAUGUUUUCACAAAAUCAUCCUUCAAGUGGUAUCAGAGCCUAGGUCUAGUAGUUGGUGAAUCCUUUUGGGUUUUGUAGUUCAUAGUUUGUGAUUUAAAAGUUGUAAUAUGUUACAAGCUUUAUUCUUGUUUCUUUGAAUGUAAAUUUUGUUAGAAAAUUUUCCAUCUCAAAUGUUGUAGAUGUAGUUCAUAUGAGCAUGAAUAUUGGAGCUAAAAUUUGGUGCCAUGAUUUUGGGGAUUUUCGGCCAAAUCCAAAGGGUGGAUUUUUGGGUUCUUGUUUGACUUGUUAAAAGUGUUUUCAAGUAACGUUUGGAACCCCUAUGUACCCUAGUUUGGUUAUAUGUUAUGUACCUAAAGUUUGAAUGGUUUUGGGAUGUUUUUGGAGUAAAAAUAUUCAUGGAAAUUUUUGGGUUUUUCAUGAAUGUUCUUCAUUGUUCUUGACAUUUUUGCCAAGAACAAAAAGGUUUGUGUUUUGAUUCAAAGUUUUGAUUUAUUUCAUAAAGUUUAUGUUUUAUGUAUUUUCAAAUGUUUAAAUGUUUUAGAUAUUUGUUUAAAUGGUGUAAGAAUUAUUGGUGAGUGUGUAAGGAUUAAUUUCCUUUCACACACACCACUUGCACCACUUGAUUGCUUUAUGUCUAAACUACAAAUCAACACACACAUCACUCCCUUUCCUUCUCCAAAACGGGCCCUCCCUCAAGUGGGAGUACUUUUGGGGCUUUUAUGCAAUUACAUAAAGUUUUGAUACUUUUGUGUAUUUGCACUUUGGCCCAAAAGUUUACGUUUUUACGUUUAGGUCCAAAAAUGCUAAAGGACAAAUUGUUUUGCUCCUUUAAUGAAGUUUUUACAUUGUUUAAAUUUUGGGUUCUAGUGUAAUUAUAUGAAGUAGUGGACUUUUGUGUUCCUACAAAGUGACCCCAAAAGUUUAUGUUUUCGCAAUAUUGCCCAAAAAGUUGUGGUUAUUGCAUGAUGGCCCAAAUAGUUUGAGAACAAAAUUGUUUUGUCUCUUUAAAUGAGAAUUGGAUUUUCAUUUCAUUUAGCUCCAUUUAAAUCAAUUCUAUGGAUACAAAAACCAAAUGAAAAUGUUGCAUUCAAUUUAAUUAGUUAAAGCGUUAAUUAAUUAAAGGGUGAUUAUGAACCUAAGCCUAAUAUAAUUGAGCUAUGUGAUAGGCCGUUUCAAAUUUGUUUGAACCAUGGGAAUGUGUAGAUUAGAUUUUGGUUGUAAUUUGAUUUGAUCAAAUGUUGUAAAAGGGCAUAAGCUCUUCUUUACUUUAUAGUCCAUCAAUGAAUGCAAACCUUAU
This 1494-nucleotide long non-coding RNA is filed under the name Malus domestica (apple). Its description in RNAcentral is "long non-coding RNA (MDOM_LNC020394)". Lineage: Eukaryota; Viridiplantae; Streptophyta; Magnoliopsida; Rosales; Rosaceae. The record is from RNAcentral.